AGAGCAGAACACUCCUAACACAAUGUACACUCCUUUAGGCCUUUCCACAAGGACAGAUUGGUAGGUUAGUGGUCAGCUACUCUGAUUUGACGUGUAUGGGGUGCCAGCUGUUGGGGUUUUUUGACCUUGAAGGUCUCGCUGGUUUUUUUUAUAAAAAGGUGCCUCUCUCAUAGCAUCCUCCACUUUCUCAACAGGGCCCACCUGGCUCCAUGGGAAUACCAGGUCCAGUUGGCCCUCCAGGGCCCCCAGGUUUGACGGGACCUCCUGGUCCACCAGGGCUGCCAGGACCUAAGGGUAAUAUGGGUUUGAAUUUCCAAGGACCCAAAGGUGAAAAAGGUGAACAAGGUCUUCAGGGACCUCCAGGGCCACCAGGACAAAUUGGAGAACAGAAGAGACCAAAUGACAUUGAGUUUCAGAAAGGAGAUCAGGGUAUUCCAGGUGAUCCAGGCCCACCAGGACUUCCUGGGCCACAAGGCCCUCCUGGUCUUCCCGGUGGCGUAAAAGGUGAAAAAGGUGAGCAAGGAGAACCAGGCAAAAGAGGAAAGCCUGGCAAAGAUGGAGAACCUGGUCAGCCUGGUAGGGAUGUGAGUAACUCAUACAGUUCUAAUCUAAGCAGAUUCCUUAUAAGUUUUUCUUCUGAUAUGGAGAAGAUCUGGGUGUGA
RNAcentral lists this long non-coding RNA (662 nucleotides) under Accipiter nisus (Eurasian sparrowhawk). Its description in RNAcentral is "lncRNA (ENSANIG00000016006.1)". Lineage: Eukaryota; Metazoa; Chordata; Aves; Accipitriformes; Accipitridae. The record is from RNAcentral.